RNAcentral lists this small RNA (76 nucleotides) under Xanthomonas sp. 3075. Its description in RNAcentral is "sRNA sX9". It matches the Rfam family "Xanthomonas sRNA sX9". Lineage: Bacteria; Pseudomonadati; Pseudomonadota; Gammaproteobacteria; Lysobacterales; Lysobacteraceae. The record is from RNAcentral.
GUGUACCACGCGUACACGCAGGUUCCGAGCGCGCCGUCCACAGCUAUCUGACGACUCUCGGCACGUUCUGUUAGCC